Molecule: ribosomal RNA, 253 nt
Filed under: uncultured bacterium
Lineage: Bacteria
Description: partial 16S ribosomal RNA
Rfam family: Bacterial small subunit ribosomal RNA
Source: RNAcentral
UACGUAGGGUGCGAGCGUUAAUCGGAAUUACUGGGCGUAGAGCGUGCGCAGGCGGUUUUGUAAGCCAGAUGUGAAAUCCCCGGGCUCAACCUGGGAAUGGCAUUUGGGACUGCAAGGCUCGAGUGCGGCAGAGGAGACUGGAAUUCCUGGUGUAGCAGUGAAAUGCGUAGAUAUCAGGAGGAACACCAGUAGCGAAGGCGGCACUCUGGGCCGGUACUGACGCUGAGGAGCGAAAGCGUGGGGAGCGAACAGG